This is a non-coding RNA of Oryza glaberrima (African rice), 206 nucleotides long. The record is from Rfam. Lineage: Eukaryota; Viridiplantae; Streptophyta; Magnoliopsida; Poales; Poaceae.
UUUGAGUGUAACCAUUAGUUUCUGUGCCCAACUUUGAUCGUCCGUUUUAUUUGAAAUUUUUUAUAAUUAGUAUUUUUGUUGUUAUGAGAUGAUAAAACAUGAAUAGUAUUUUAUGCGUGACUUAUGUUUUUAAAUUUUUUUUUAAAAUUUUUUCAAAUAAGACGGACGAUCAAAGUUGAGCACGGAAAAGCAUGGUUGCACUUAAA